This 253-nucleotide ribosomal RNA is filed under the name uncultured bacterium. RNAcentral's name for it is "partial 16S ribosomal RNA". It matches the Rfam family "Bacterial small subunit ribosomal RNA", at positions 524 to 776 of the family's 1533-position model. The record is from RNAcentral.
UACGAAGGGGGCUAGCGUUGCUCGGAAUCACUGGGCGUAAAGCGCACGUAGGCGGAUUGCUAAGUCAGGGGUGAAAUCCUGGAGCUCAACUCCAGAACUGCCUUUGAUACUGGCGAUCUCGAGUCCGGGAGAGGUGAGUGGAACUGCGAGUGUAGAGGUGAAAUUCGUAGAUAUUCGCAAGAACACCAGUGGCGAAGGCGGCUCACUGGCCCGGUACUGACGCUGAGGUGCGAAAGCGUGGGGAGCAAACGGG